Long non-coding RNA from Zea mays, 756 nucleotides. RefSeq lists it as uncharacterized. NCBI's taxonomy places the organism in Eukaryota, Viridiplantae, Streptophyta, Magnoliopsida, Poales, Poaceae. The transcript has 3 exons. The record is from RefSeq and is a predicted model, not a curated record.
UGGAGAUCACAACUUGCCGGAUAGCCCAUUUGCGUCCCCUACCAAGUCUGCCGCGCUCGUGCACGACAGUUUCGCCGCCACGGAGCAUGAGAACACCGCGUCCCUUGUUGGGAGCAAGAUCGACGUCGGCAGUAACCAUCUCCGCCCCCUGCGCUGGAAAUCCCUUCGCCCAGCUCCUACUUCUUCCCCAUGCGCAGGCUGUCCUCCGAUCACGGAGCCAUGGGGAUGUAAAGUUCAGCAUUGGAAGCGAGUGAUACCCUAGCCUAAUCAUAGAAUACUAGAAGCCAAGGAAAAGUGAUGAUGGAUAUAUAGGGAAGAAAGAGAGUUGAGUGUCAGCAUAGUGUUAGCUCCCACUUUCUUUUGUUCUUUUAGUCCGUACCUUUUUAGUGGAUAGUUCUACUAAACCACAAGAGGAGAAGAUGCCAUUAGCCUUGAUUAAGAAAACGGCGGCAUAUGCAAUAUUAUCGCCAAAUAUAAGUAUAUAUAUAUAUAGGUGAGUGUCUGUGCGUUGCAACGGAGACAUAUAAUACAUAAGUUACCGUGAUAUUAUAUGUCCCCAUUGCAACGCAUGGGUACUCACCUAGUUGUACAAUAUGUUCGUUCGGAGCAUGAGGCUAGCCGCACUUGUCUGCUGCAAAGCUCACCACAGUAACAAUUUGCAGUAAGUAGUGCUACACCGAUGUACUGGAUGACCUGUUGUAUCCUUCUGUAGAUCCUCUACAAUCCCAAAUAUGGAGUAGAUGUCGUUCUACUGCA